This 466-nucleotide ribosomal RNA is filed under the name uncultured bacterium. RNAcentral describes it as "partial 16S ribosomal RNA". It matches the Rfam family "Bacterial small subunit ribosomal RNA", at positions 28 to 507 of the family's 1533-position model. The record is from RNAcentral.
GACGAACGCUGGCGGUGUGCUUAACACAUGCAAGUCGAACGGUAAGGCCCUUUCGGGGGUACACGAGUGGCGAACGGGUGAGUAACACGUGAGUAACCUGCCCUCAUCUCUGGGAUAACAGUCGGAAACGGUUGCUAAUACUGGAUAUGAGCUUGCAAGGCAUCUUGUGGGUUGGAAAGAUUUUUUUGGUUGGGGAUGGACUCGCGGCCUAUCAGCUUGUUGGUGAGGUAGUGGCUCACCAAGGCUUCGACGGGUAGCCGGCCUGAGAGGGCGACCGGCCACAUUGGGACUGAGAUACGGCCCAAACUCCUACGGGAGGCAGCAGUGGGGAAUAUUGCACAAUGGACGGGAGUCUGAUGCAGCAACGCCGCGUGCGGGAUGACGGCCUUCGGGUUGUAAACCGCUUUCAAUUGUGACGAAGCUUUUUGUGACGGUAGCAGUAGAAGAAGCACCGGCUAACUACGUG